RNAcentral lists this ribosomal RNA (422 nucleotides) under uncultured bacterium. Its description in RNAcentral is "bacterial SSU rRNA". It matches the Rfam family "Bacterial small subunit ribosomal RNA", at positions 207 to 622 of the family's 1533-position model. The record is from RNAcentral.
AAGACCUUGCGCUUUUGGAGCGGCCGAUGCCUGAUUAGCUUGUUGGUAAGGUAAAAGCUUACCAAGGCUUCGAUCAGUAGCUGGUCUGAGAGGACGGCCAGCCACACUGGGACUGAGACACGGCCAGACUCCUACGGGAGGCAGCAGUGGGGAAUUUUGGACAAUGGGGGCAACCCUGAUCCAGCCAUGCCGCGUGAGUGAAGAAGGCCUUCGGGUUGUAAAGCUCUUUCAGCCGGAACGAAACGGUUACGGUUAAUACCCGUGAUUACUGACGGUACCGGAAGAAGAAGCACCGGCUAACUACGUGCCAGCAGCCGCGGUAAUACGUAGGGUGCGAGCGUUAAUCGGAAUUACUGGGCGUAAAGCGUGCGCAGGUGGUUUUGUAAGUCAGAUGUGAAAGCCCCGGGCUCAACCUGGGAACU